GAUGAACGCUAGCGGCAGGCUUAACACAUGCAAGUCGAGGGGCAGCAUAUCCAGCAAUGGGUGAUGGCGACCGGCGGAAGGGUGCGUAACGCGUGAGCAACAUACCCGUAUCUGGGGGAUAAUCCAGGGAAACUUGGUCUAAUAUCCCAUAGCAAAUAUUUCAGGCAUCUGAGAAAUUUUUAAAGCUACGGUGGGAACGGAUUGGCUCGCGUGACAUUAGCUAGAUGGCAGGGUAACGGCCUACCAUGGCAAUGAUGUCUAGGGGUUCUGAGAGGAAGAUCCCCCACACUGGAACUGAGACACGGUCCAGACUCCUACGGGUGGCAG
This 327-nucleotide ribosomal RNA is filed under the name uncultured Bacteroidota bacterium. RNAcentral's name for it is "bacterial SSU rRNA". It matches the Rfam family "Bacterial small subunit ribosomal RNA", at positions 28 to 351 of the family's 1533-position model. The record is from RNAcentral. Lineage: Bacteria; Pseudomonadati; Bacteroidota.